RNAcentral lists this ribosomal RNA (253 nucleotides) under uncultured bacterium. RNAcentral's name for it is "partial 16S ribosomal RNA". It matches the Rfam family "Bacterial small subunit ribosomal RNA", at positions 524 to 776 of the family's 1533-position model. The record is from RNAcentral.
UACGGGGGGGGCAAGCGUUGUUCGGAAUUACUGGGCGUAAAGGGCUCGUAGGUGGCCAACUAAGUCAGACGUGAAAUCCCUCGGCUUAACCGGGGAACUGCGUCUGAUACUGGAUGGCUUGAGUUCGGGAGAGGGAUGCGGAAUUCCAGGUGUAGCGGUGAAAUGCGUAGAUAUCUGGAGGAACACCGGUGGCGAAGGCGGCAUCCUGGACCGAUACUGACACUGAGGAGCGAAAGCCAGGGUAGCGAACGGG